Molecule: ribosomal RNA, 451 nt
Filed under: uncultured bacterium
Lineage: Bacteria
Description: partial 16S ribosomal RNA
Rfam family: Bacterial small subunit ribosomal RNA
Source: RNAcentral
GUGGGGAAUAUUGCGCAAUGGGGGAAACCCUGACGCAGCGACGCCGUGUGAGGGAAGAAGGCUUUCGGGUCGUAAACCUCUGUCAGGAAGGAAGAACCUCUCAAGGCUGAACAAGCCUUGGGACUGACGGUACUUCCAGAGGAAGCACCGGCUAACUCCGUGCCAGCAGCCGCGGUAAUACGGAGGGUGCAAGCGUUAAUCGGAAUCACUGGGCGUAAAGCGCGCGUAGGCCGUCUUUUAAGUCGGACGUGAAAGCCCUCGGCUCAACCGGGGAACUGCGUUCGAUACUGGGGGACUUGAGUCCUGGAGAGGGUGGCGGAAUUCCGGGUGUAGGAGUGAAAUCCGUAGAUAUCCGGAGGAACACCGGUGGCGAAGGCGGCCACCUGGACAGGUACUGACGCUGAGGCGCGAAAGCGUGGGGAGCAAACAGGAUUAGAAACCCGAGUAGUCC